CCUACGGGUGGCAGCAGUGAGGAAUAUUGGUCAAUGGACGGAAGUCUGAACCAGCCAUGCCGCGUGCAGGAAGACGGCUCUAUGAGUUGUAAACUGCUUUUGUACAAGGGAAAACCUGAAUACGUGUAUUCAGCUGAAAGUACGGUACGAAUAAGGAGCGGCUAACCCGGUGCCAGCAGCCGCGGUAAUACGGAGGGUACAAGCGUUAUCCGGAUUUAGUGGGUUUAAAGGGUGCGUAGGCGGAUUGAUAAGUGAGAGGUGAAAUGUCGGAGUUUAACUCGGGAACUGCUUCGAAUACUGUUGAGCUGGAGAGUAGGUGAGGUAGGCGGAAUUUAUGGUGUAGCGGUGAAAUGCUUAGAGAUCAUACAGAACACCGGUUGCGAAGGCAGCUUACUAAUCUAUAUCUGACGUUGAGGCACGAAAGCGUGGGGAGCAAACAGGAUUAGAUACCCGGGUAGUC
This 460-nucleotide ribosomal RNA is filed under the name uncultured bacterium. RNAcentral's name for it is "partial 16S ribosomal RNA". It matches the Rfam family "Bacterial small subunit ribosomal RNA", at positions 338 to 795 of the family's 1533-position model. The record is from RNAcentral.